RNAcentral lists this transfer RNA (75 nucleotides) under Methanobacteriota archaeon. RNAcentral describes it as "tRNA-Gly". It matches the Rfam family "tRNA". Rfam says of the family: Transfer RNA (tRNA) molecules are approximately 80 nucleotides in length. Their secondary structure includes four short double-helical elements and three loops (D, anti-codon, and T loops). Lineage: Archaea; Methanobacteriati; Methanobacteriota. The record is from RNAcentral. RNAcentral also lists the same sequence under 2 other names.
GGGGCCGUAGGGUAGCCUGGUCCAUCCUCCCAGCCUCCCAUGCUGGUGACUCCGGUUCAAAUCCGGGCGGCCCCA